GGCACGGAUUCAUUCGUUCGUACACUCAAGACUGGUUGCUUCUUUGUUUCUAAAACUAGUUUCUUGCGCUUCGAUGUCUCGCGUUAUUUAACUUGGGGCGAAGUUACGUGUUUGCAAGCGGACAUGUAAGCCCGGCAGUUGGGUUUCGGUCGUGAGCCAUUCGGAACAGGUCUGCAUCGAAACGGGAGCUGGAUUUUGCUGCGGCUGACAACGGCAAUAACGACAUGCAGUAAUGAGGACGGCACCAGUAUAAAGCAACACACUCCACGCACUAAACAGAAGCUGCUGCCUGCUACAACAAGGUCAUUGUGUGGACAUUGGCUACUACUACAAGAGUCUAUGCCAAGCACAUCUUGGUCAUCACAGGAGCUCCUAUCUGCGCCAACAGGAAGGGGCUGGAGCCGAAUUUGCAAGGCUUUUACACCAAGAACAAAGAAGCACAUGCAGAAGAAUAUGAAUGAGAUAUCAAGUCUGCAGAGGACUGUGUCAAGACUGAAAAGAGCUUCAGCCACCAUUCCACCAGCACGGACAUUUGGCUGAGUCAUCCAGGUAACUCAAAAAGGAUUUUC
Molecule: long non-coding RNA, 569 nt
Organism: Dermacentor andersoni
Lineage: Eukaryota; Metazoa; Arthropoda; Arachnida; Ixodida; Ixodidae
Source: RefSeq, a predicted model, not a curated record